This 535-nucleotide ribosomal RNA is filed under the name uncultured bacterium. RNAcentral describes it as "partial 16S ribosomal RNA". It matches the Rfam family "Bacterial small subunit ribosomal RNA", at positions 355 to 902 of the family's 1533-position model. The record is from RNAcentral.
UGGGGAAUAUUGGACAAUGGGCGCAAGCCUGAUCCAGCCAUGCCGCGUGAGUGAUGAAGGCCCUAGGGUUGUAAAGCUCUCUCAGCGAGGAGGAUAAUGACGUUACUCGCAGAAGAAGCCCCGGCUAACUUCGUGCCAGCAGCCGCGGUAAUACGAAGGGGGCUAGCGUUGUUCGGAAUCACUGGGCGUAAAGCGCACGUAGGCGGACUUUUAAGUCAGGGGUGAAAUCCCGGGGCUCAACCUCGGAACUGCCUUUGAUACUGGAAGUCUGGAGUCCGAGAGAGGUGAGUGGAACUCCGAGUGUAGAGGUGAAAUUCGUAGAUAUUCGGAAGAACACCAGUGGCGAAGGCGGCUCACUGGCUCGGUACUGACGCUGAGGUGCGAAAGCNNGUGGGGAGCAAACAGGAUUAGAUACCCUGGUAGUCCACGCCGUAAACGAUGGAAGCUAGCCGUCAGGGUGCAUGCAUCUUGGUGGCGCAGUUAACGCAUUAAAGCUUCCCGCCUGGGGGAGUACGGUCGCAAAGAUUAAAAACUU